GGCCAGGGAGAGAGGCUUUGCCCAGCACAGGCCCCUCCCAUUUCACUAAUGAGGGGCAGAGAGGGGAAGGGACUGCCCUGGGCCACACACGGGUGAGGCAGCAGCCGGGGGCAGAUGCCUGCACUGCUGGACGCUGGGCAGGGCUGGCCCCUGCAGUCUGGCCCCACAGCUGCGCCCUGGCCCCGACGUCCUGCCCUCCCCGUGCUGCGCCCCCACGCUGCUCUACGCACUGGCCAACCAGGGCCUCACGGCCACCACCACCCCCAGGCAGCCUCAGCACCCCGCUUUAUAGAUUUGAUGAAAGAAGAUUCUAAGUCUCAGGAAUAUAAGAUUCUGGAUUUUGAUAACUGCCAGACCCUGAGAUGCUGGGGUCCUCGUGAGUGACACUUCUGCUGAUAAAACACCCAACAGCAUCUUCUCACAGCUGGGGCUGCAAAGAUCAUCUCGUGGGAGUUAAUGGAGAAGCCAUUUGCAGGUUAUAAAGGACUCACCUCACUGAUGCCAAUUACACCUU
This 514-nucleotide long non-coding RNA is filed under the name Dasypus novemcinctus (nine-banded armadillo). RNAcentral's name for it is "lncRNA (ENSDNOG00000051070.1)". Lineage: Eukaryota; Metazoa; Chordata; Mammalia; Cingulata; Dasypodidae. The record is from RNAcentral.